Molecule: long non-coding RNA, 297 nt
Organism: Lolium rigidum
Lineage: Eukaryota; Viridiplantae; Streptophyta; Magnoliopsida; Poales; Poaceae
Exons: 3
Source: RefSeq, a predicted model, not a curated record
ACGCACCACGAGCUACUGCACGGCGUUUUCCAUGGAGAGCCUGCCGUCCCCGCGGUUCCUCUCCCCCAUCCGGCAGGGAACGAGCGGGUGGCGUACCAGGCCGCGCGAACACGCUCGAACAUGGUGGAUCCUUUAGAAGUCUAUGCCAGACACUGCCACGGUGCUGUUGUGGUCGGCGAGAAGUGUCGCCGGCAUGAGCAGUGAGUGGACUCCACCGCGUCGUGAGCGGGUCCGUGGCUUGGGGCUUGCCACUUGGCCUCGUCCGCCAGCAGCACUGAGGCUUCGCAGCGGGCCAGC